This 494-nucleotide ribosomal RNA is filed under the name uncultured bacterium. RNAcentral describes it as "partial 16S ribosomal RNA". It matches the Rfam family "Bacterial small subunit ribosomal RNA", at positions 28 to 507 of the family's 1533-position model. The record is from RNAcentral.
GACGAACGCUGGCGGCGUGCCUAACACAUGCAAGUCGAACGCUGAAGGCGGAGCUUGCUUCUCUGGAUGAGUUGCGAACGGGUGAGUAACGCGUAGGUAACCUGCCUGUUAGCGGGGGAUACUAUUGGAAACGAUAGCUAAUACCCCAUAAUAGCAGUUAUUUCAUGAUAACUGUUUGAAAGGUUUAAUUGCACCACUACCAGCUGGACCUGCGUUGUCUUAGGUAGUUGGUGGGGUAACGGCUCACCAAGGCGACGAUACAGAGCCGACCUGAGAUGGUGAUCGGCCGGACUGGGACUGUGACCGGGCCCAGACUCCCAGGGGAGGCGGCAGUACUGAAACUUGGGCAAUGGGCGGAAGUCUGACCGAGCAGGGCCGCGUGCGGGAAGAAGGUUUUCGGGUCGUAGAGCACGGUUGUAGGGGUAGAACGAGUGUGCGAGUGGAAAGUUCACACUGUGACGGUAUCUUGCAAGAAAGGGACGGCUAACUACGUG